This 440-nucleotide ribosomal RNA is filed under the name uncultured bacterium. Its description in RNAcentral is "partial 16S ribosomal RNA". It matches the Rfam family "Bacterial small subunit ribosomal RNA", at positions 338 to 795 of the family's 1533-position model. The record is from RNAcentral.
CCUACGGGAGGCUGCAGUGGGGGAUAUUGCGCAAUGGGGGGAACCCUGAUGCAGCGACGCCGCGUGGGUGAAGAAGCGCCUCGGCGCGUAAAGCCCUUUCAGCCGGGACGAAAAUGACGGUACCUGAAGAAGAAGCCCCGGCUAACUACGUGCCAGCAGCCGCGGUAAUACGUAGGGGGCGAGCGUUAUUCGGAUUUACUGGGCGUAAAGGGGGCGCAGGCGGAGAUGCAAGCCAGGAGUGAAAAGCCGGGGCUCAACCCCGGGACUGCGCGUAGGACUGCGUAGCUGGAGUGCAGGAGGGGAAGGCGGAAUUCCUGGUGUAGCGGUGAAAUGCGUAGAUAUCAGGAGGAACACCGGUGGCGAAGGCGGCCAGCUGGACUGCAACUGACGUUGAGGCCCGAAAGCAUGGGGAGCAAACAGGAUUAGAUACCCUAGUAGUC